Molecule: long non-coding RNA, 315 nt
Organism: Helianthus annuus (common sunflower)
Lineage: Eukaryota; Viridiplantae; Streptophyta; Magnoliopsida; Asterales; Asteraceae
Exons: 2
Source: RefSeq, a predicted model, not a curated record
CAUAGUAAAUGGAGCAGGGGAGAUAGCCGAUGCAGAUUUUGGAUACGUCGGUGGUGCUCCUGGAAAGAUUGAUCUUUAUGUUGGAAAGACGGUGGUACAAAGAGGAAUUGCAAUGGAGAAUGCAACGGAUGCAUUGACUCAACUGAUCAAAAGAUAACGGAUGUUGGGUGGAUCCUCCCGCGGAGGAGUAAGAGGUUGAUUCAAGAACAUUUAAGGUUAUUGUAUUAAAUAAAAUAGUGAUGAUACUGGAAAGUGUUGUUAUAUUGUUAUGACAUACUGUAGGUGUAACUAUAUUAAUGUUUUAUCAUUUAGAAA